CUUGUAGUACUGGGACUCUAACCAUAGGCCAUGAAUCUGGUCUUGGGACACUGUCAGGUGGGCAGUUUGACUGGGGCGGUCGCCUCCCAAAAGGUAACGGAGGCGCUCAAAGGUUCUCUCAGUACGGUCGGAAAUCGUACGGAGAGUGUAAAGGCAAAAGAGAGCUUGAUUGCAAGACAUACAGGUCGAGCAAGGAUGAAAAUCGGACUUAGUGAGCCGGUGGUUCUGCGUGGAAGGGCCAUCGCUCAACGGAUAAAAGCUACCCUGGGGAUAACAGGCUUAUCUCCCCCAAGAGUCCACAUCGACGGGGAGGUUUGGCACCUCGAUGUCGGCUCAUCACAUCCUGGGGCUGUAGUAGGUCCCAAGGGUUGGG
This 373-nucleotide ribosomal RNA is filed under the name Clostridioides difficile. Its description in RNAcentral is "partial 23S ribosomal RNA". It matches the Rfam family "Bacterial large subunit ribosomal RNA", at positions 2205 to 2576 of the family's 2925-position model. The record is from RNAcentral. Lineage: Bacteria; Bacillati; Bacillota; Clostridia; Peptostreptococcales; Peptostreptococcaceae.